Molecule: unclassified non-coding RNA, 295 nt
Filed under: uncultured Ascomycota
Lineage: Eukaryota; Fungi; Ascomycota
Description: sequence contains ITS1
Rfam family: 5.8S ribosomal RNA (bases 1-105)
Source: RNAcentral
GAAAUGCGAUAAGUAGUGUGAAUUGCAGAAUUCAGUGAAUCAUCGAAUCUUUGAACGCACAUUGCGCCCCUUGGUAUUCCAUGGGGCAUGCCUGUUCGAGCGUCAUUUGUACCCUCAAGCUUUGCUUGGUGUUGGGUGAGCUUUGCCAUUGGCAAACUUGCCUCAAAACAAUUGGCAGCCGGCAAAUGGGCCUGAAGCGCAGCACAAUUUGCGCUCCUUGCCCGGAUUGUUGGCGUCCAUCAAGACCUUUUAAGCUCUUGACCUCGGAUCAGGUAGGGAUACCCGCUGAACUUAA